GAUGAACGCUGGCGGCGUGCCUAAUACAUGCAAGUCGAGCGAACAGACGAGGAGCUUGCUCCUCUGACGUUAGCGGCGGACGGGUGAGUAACACGUGGAUAACCUACCUAUAAGACUGGGAUAACUUCGGGAAACCGGAGCUAAUACCGGAUAAUAUAUUGAACCGCAUGGUUCAAUAGUGAAAGACGGUUUUGCUGUCACUUAUAGAUGGAUCCGCGCCGCAUUAGCUAGUUGGUAAGGUAACGGCUUACCAAGGCGACGAUGCGUAGCCGACCUGAGAGGGUGAUCGGCCACACUGGAACUGAGACACGGUCCAGACUCCUGCGGGAGGCAGCAGUAGGGAAUCUUCCGCAAUGGGCGAAAGCCUGACGGAGCAACGCCGCGUAAGUGAUGAAGGUCUUCGGAUCGUAAAGCUCUGUUAUUAGGGAAGAACGAAUGUGUAAGUAACUAUGCACGUCUUGACGGUACCUAAUCAGAAAGCCACGGCUAACUACGUG
This 497-nucleotide ribosomal RNA is filed under the name uncultured bacterium. Its description in RNAcentral is "partial 16S ribosomal RNA". It matches the Rfam family "Bacterial small subunit ribosomal RNA", at positions 28 to 507 of the family's 1533-position model. The record is from RNAcentral.